RNAcentral lists this long non-coding RNA (908 nucleotides) under Nicotiana tabacum (common tobacco). RNAcentral describes it as "long non-coding RNA (NTAB_LNC007259)". Lineage: Eukaryota; Viridiplantae; Streptophyta; Magnoliopsida; Solanales; Solanaceae. The record is from RNAcentral.
AGCUUUCCUUCAUUCUCAGGUCUCUUCCCAACCUGAAUGGCAGCAAGAGCAGCAGCUCCGGAAGAAAUUCCAACCUGAUUAUCAAAAGUAGAAAAAGAUCAUUCAAGUAGCUCAAGGUGACAGUAUACAGUAAAGUAAAUACCAGACACAUUCUGGAUCAUAUGAACUGAAACCUAAUGCAUUCCAAUUCAGAGAUCAUCCAGCAUGGUUCACAGAAUGAUAUUAAGUAUAUAAAGGGCAGCUCGGUGCACAAAGCAUUCAGCAUUCACACAGGGUCCGCAAGUUUUUAAUACUUAAUGAUAUUAGAAAUUGCAAAUAGAAUAUUAAUAAGUUCUUUAUAAUGUAUCCACAAUCUAGAAAAAGGAUGAAUUAAAGGGCAUUUGAAAUUUAUGUUCGCUUAAAGCCAUGUCUCAAAAAUCAGCUGAUACAUAGAAUGGUGGGAAAAAAAGCACUAACCAAUAACCCUUCUUGUAGCGCUAAUUGCUUCGCAGUUUCAACAGCCUCGUCACUCGAUAUCUGAAAAUUCAAGUAAAGGUGUAAAGCCUCAGGAAGAUAACAUAUAUUUUUUAUUUUUUCCCUGACAAGUACUGGAAGAUAACACACAUGACAGCCUAUCAAAAAUCCAAAGGAGCAAAUGAUCUGGAUCAAAUAUUCAAACAAAGCUAUGUUCUUUUUUCUUUCUUUUUCUUUUUGUUCUGUGGGGCCUGGAUUGUAUGACAAGCAUACAGAGAUUUAUUUUCUGGAUAACCGUGGUGUCCGACAGCUUUUGCGCACCUCGACAAAUUCCAUAGGUACCUGCUAUCUCCCACCAGCAGAGGUACUGGGUAAUUCUGUCCACCAAGGCUUGAAUAGAUGAGAAGAAAUCACCUCAUGUUUUCGCCUCUGUUGGGUUUUGAACCUAAGAAUUC